RNAcentral lists this ribosomal RNA (206 nucleotides) under uncultured Proteocatella sp. RNAcentral's name for it is "partial 16S ribosomal RNA". It matches the Rfam family "Bacterial small subunit ribosomal RNA", at positions 568 to 774 of the family's 1533-position model. The record is from RNAcentral. Lineage: Bacteria; Bacillati; Bacillota; Clostridia; Peptostreptococcales; Filifactoraceae.
UGCGUAGGUGGCCUGACAAGUCAGGGGUCAAAGGCAACGGCUCAACCGUUGUAAGCCCUUGAAACUGUCGGGCUUGAGUUCAGGAGAGGAAAGCGGAGUUCCUAGUGUAGCGGUGAAAUGCGUAGAUAUUAGGAGGAACACCAGUGGCGAAGGCGGCUUUCUGGACUGAUACUGACACUGAGGCACGAAAGCGUGGGGAGCAAACA